AAGAUUUUAAUUGAAUGCUAAAAGAAUGGAAAUUUAAAAAAAAACUUUUUUAAAAAUAAAAAUUGAAUUUUUUUUAAUUUGUGCAAAAACAAUUAUUAUUAUUAAAGACAAGAAGACCCUAAGAAUUUAUGAUUUUGCAAUUAGAAUUUUUUUCAAAAAAUCUUGAUUGGGGCGAUCAAAAAAUAUUAAUAACUUUUUAAAUUUAAAUUGAUCUAUUAUUAAUAAACUAAUGAAUUAAAUACUCUAGGGAUAACAGCGUAAUAAUUUUUGAUAGAUCUUAUUGACAAAAUAGUUUGCGACCUCGAUGUUGGAUUAGGAUCCUUUUUUAAUGAAGAAGUUAAAAAAAGAAGUUUGUUCAACUUUUAAAUUCCUACUU
This 376-nucleotide ribosomal RNA is filed under the name Hyalomma anatolicum. Its description in RNAcentral is "partial large subunit ribosomal RNA". The record is from RNAcentral. Lineage: Eukaryota; Metazoa; Arthropoda; Arachnida; Ixodida; Ixodidae.